Molecule: non-coding RNA, 90 nt
Organism: Rhodotorula diobovata
Lineage: Eukaryota; Fungi; Basidiomycota; Microbotryomycetes; Sporidiobolales; Sporidiobolaceae
Source: the annotation of a GenBank genome assembly
GUCUUCGUAGCUCAGUUGGUCGAGAGCGUCCGACUGUUACCUGACACAGUCGCCAUCGGGAGGUCGACAGUUCGAACCUGUCCGAGGACG